RNAcentral lists this ribosomal RNA (253 nucleotides) under uncultured bacterium. RNAcentral describes it as "partial 16S ribosomal RNA". It matches the Rfam family "Bacterial small subunit ribosomal RNA", at positions 524 to 776 of the family's 1533-position model. The record is from RNAcentral.
UACGGGGGGAGCAAGCGUUGUUCGGAUUUACUGGGCGUAAAGGGCGCGUAGGCGGCGCAACAAGUCACUUGUGAAAUCUCCGGGCUUAACCCGGAGCGGCCAAGUGAUACUGUCGUGCUAGAGUGCGGAAGGGGCUACUGGAAUUCUCGGUGUAGCGGUGAAAUGCGUAGAUAUCGAGAGGAACACCUGCGGCGAAGGCGGGUAGCUGGGCCGACACUGACGCUCAUGCACGAAAGCGUGGGGAGCAAACAGG